RNAcentral lists this ribosomal RNA (478 nucleotides) under uncultured Planctomycetales bacterium. RNAcentral's name for it is "bacterial SSU rRNA". It matches the Rfam family "Bacterial small subunit ribosomal RNA", at positions 364 to 832 of the family's 1533-position model. The record is from RNAcentral. Lineage: Bacteria; Pseudomonadati; Planctomycetota; Planctomycetia; Planctomycetales.
UUUCGCAAUGCCCGAAAGGGUGACGAAGCGACGCCGCGUGUGGGAAGAAGGCCUUCGGGUUGUAAACCACUGUCGGGAGUUAGGAAAUGCAGGUGCGUAAAUAGCGCACUUGCUUGACUAAGGCUCCAGAGGAAGCCACGGCUAACUCUGUGCCAGCAGCCGCGGUAAUACAGAGGCGGCAAGCGUUGUUCGGAAUUAUUGGGCGUAAAGAGCACGUAGGCGGCCUUGCAAGUCAGUUGUGAAAGCCUUCCGCUUAACGGAAGAACGGCAUCUGAUACUACAGGGCUUGAGUACGGGAGGGGAGAGUGGAACUUCUGGUGGAGCGGUGAAAUGCGUAGAUAUCAGAAGGAACGCCGGCGGCGAAAGCGACUCUCUGGUCCGAAACUGACGCUGAGUGUGCGAAAGCUAGGGGAGCAAACGGGAUUAGAUACCCCGGUAGUCCUAGCCGUAAACGAUGGGCACUAAGUAGAGGGGUUUU